This 327-nucleotide long non-coding RNA is filed under the name Bos taurus (domestic cattle). RNAcentral's name for it is "long non-coding RNA NONBTAT007012". Lineage: Eukaryota; Metazoa; Chordata; Mammalia; Artiodactyla; Bovidae. The record is from RNAcentral.
UAAAGUAUGAUGUCAGCAAGCAAUUUCUUAACUAUCUAGAUUAUAUAGCUUAUCUGAAAGAUAUCAGUUAAGGACCCAUGGAAGUGUUGAAAGUUUUGAUCCUGUAUAAUAUCAGAAUAUUUAAUGAAUCACUAAGCUUUAUUUAUUUGAUACUUUGAGUGCUGAACUCCUUCCUACUAUUUUUGCUACCAUUGUCACAUCAUUGUAAACCGGUCCCUCAUUACUGAGUAAUAAAAUUGUAUCUAAUUUACUGAGUUUGCCCUUACAGUGUAUAUAUCCUUUGCUUCUGUUUUUCUAGAGUACAUUUUCUGUCCUGCAGAAAUACAU